RNAcentral lists this ribosomal RNA (1847 nucleotides) under Salmonella enterica subsp. enterica. RNAcentral's name for it is "partial 23S ribosomal RNA". It matches the Rfam family "Bacterial large subunit ribosomal RNA", at positions 1 to 1775 of the family's 2925-position model. Lineage: Bacteria; Pseudomonadati; Pseudomonadota; Gammaproteobacteria; Enterobacterales; Enterobacteriaceae. The record is from RNAcentral.
GGGUUGUGAGGUUAAGCGACUAAGCGUACACGGUGGAUGCCCUGGCAGUCAGAGGCGAUGAAGGGCGUGCUAAUCUGCGAUAAGCGCCGGUAAGGUGAUAUGAACCGUUAUAACCGGCGAUACCCGAAUGGGGAAACCCAGUGUGACUCGUCACACUAUCAUUAACUGAAUCCAUAGGUUAAUGAGGCGAACCGGGGGAACUGAAACAUCUAAGUACCCCGAGGAAAAGAAAUCAACCGAGAUUCCCCCAGUAGCGGCGAGCGAACGGGGAGGAGCCCAGAGCCUGAAUCAGCAUGUGUGUUAGUGGAAGCGUCUGGAAAGGCGCGCGAUACAGGGUGACAGCCCCGUACACAAAAGCGCAUAUGCUGUGAGCUCGAUGAGUAGGGCGGGACACGUGGUAUCCUGUCUGAAUAUGGGGGGACCAUCCUCCAAGGCUAAAUACUCCUGACUGACCGAUAGUGAACCAGUACCGUGAGGGAAAGGCGAAAAGAACCCCGGCGAGGGGAGUGAAAAAGAACCUGAAACCGUGUACGUACAAGCAGUGGGAGCCCCACCACUAAGCCAGUGGUGAACUCCACAUACGCAUCCUUUGCUGAGGAUACGGUUAACGGAGCGCAAGCGACGUUCAACCUCAAAAGAAGCAGAGGGGGCUUAGUGGUGGGGUGACUGCGUACCUUUUGUAUAAUGGGUCAGCGACUUAUAUUCUGUAGCAAGGUUAACCGAAUAGGGGAGCCGGAGGGAAACCGAGUCUUAACCGGGCGUUAAGUUGCAGGGUAUAGACCCGAAACCCGGUGAUCUAGCCAUGGGCAGGUUGAAGGUUGGGUAACACUAACUGGAGGACCGAACCGACUAAUGUUGAAAAAUUAGCGGAUGACCUGUGGCUGGGGGUGAAAGGCCAAUCAAACCGGGAGAUAGCUGGUUCUCCCCGAAAGCUAUUUAGGUAGCGCCUCGUGAACUCAUCUCCGGGGGUAGAGCACUGUUUCGGCUAGGGGGCCAUCCCGGCUUACCAACCCGAUGCAAACUGCGAAUACCGGAGAAUGUUAUCACGGGAGACACACGGCGGGUGCUAACGUCCGUCGUGAAGAGGGAAACAACCCAGACCGCCAGCUAAGGUCCCAAAGUCAUGGUUAAGUGGGAAACGAUGUGGGAAGGCCCAGACAGCCAGGAUGUUGGCUUAGAAGCAGCCAUCAUUUAAAGAAAGCGUAAUAGCUCACUGGUCGAGUCGGCCUGCGCGGAAGAUGUAACGGGGCUAAACCAUGCACCGAAGCUGCGGCAGCGACGCUGAUGCGUUGUUGGGUAGGGGAGCGUUCUGUAAGCCUGUGAAGGUGGCCUGUGAGGGUUGCUGGAGGUAUCAGAAGUGCGAAUGCUGACAUAAGUAACGAUAAAGCGGGUGAAAAGCCCGCUCGCCGGAAGACCAAGGGUUCCUGUCCAACGUUAAUCGGGGCAGGGUGAGUCGACCCCUAAGGCGAGGCCGAAAGGCGUAGUCGAUGGGAAACGGGUUAAUAUUCCCGUACUUGGUGUUACUGCGAAGGGGGGACGGAGAAGGCUAUGUUGGCCGGGCGACGGUUGUCCCGGUUUAAGCGUGUAGGUGUGUGUUCCAGGUAAAUCCGGUUCACUUUAACACUGAGGCGUGACGACGAGGCACUACGGUGCUGAAGCAACAAAUGCCCUGCUUCCAGGAAAAGCCUCUAAGCAUCAGGUAACACGAAAUCGUACCCCAAACCGACACAGGUGGUCAGGUAGAGAAUACCAAGGCGCUUGAGAGAACUCGGGUGAAGGAACUAGGCAAAAUGGUGCCGUAACUUCGGGAGAAGGCACGCUGACAUGUAGGUGAAGUGAUUUACUCA